RNAcentral lists this ribosomal RNA (490 nucleotides) under uncultured bacterium. RNAcentral's name for it is "partial 16S ribosomal RNA". It matches the Rfam family "Bacterial small subunit ribosomal RNA", at positions 28 to 507 of the family's 1533-position model. The record is from RNAcentral.
GAUGAACGCUAGCUACAGGCUUAACACAUGCAAGUCGCGGGGCAGCAUGGGGGUUGCUUGCAAUCCCCGAUGGCGACCGACGCACGGGUGAGUAACGCGUAUCCAACCUGCCCUUCACCACGGGAUAACCCGGCGAAAGUCGGACUAAUACCGUAUGUUGUCCAUUGACGGCAUCCGAUUUGGACGAAAGGCUUGGCGGUGAGGGGUGGGGAUGCGUCCGAUUAGCCAGACGGCGGGGUAACGGCCCACCGUGGCUACGAUCGGUAGGGGUUCUGAGAGGAAGGUCCCCCACACUGGAACUGAGACACGGUCCAGACUCCUACGGGAGGCAGCAGUGAGGAAUAUUGGUCAAUGGGCGUAAGCCUGAACCAGCCAAGUAGCGUGCAGGAUGACGGCCCUAUGGGUUGUAAACUGCUUUUAUGCGGGGAUAAAGUGGCCCACGUGUGGGCUUUUGCAGGUACCGCAUGAAUAAGGACCGGCUAAUUCCGUG